Molecule: ribosomal RNA, 254 nt
Filed under: uncultured bacterium
Lineage: Bacteria
Description: partial 16S ribosomal RNA
Rfam family: Bacterial small subunit ribosomal RNA
Source: RNAcentral
UACGUAGGGGCCAAGCGUUGUCCGGAUUUAUUGGGCGUAAAGAGCUCGUAGGCGGUUCGGCAAGUCAGCUGUGAAAUCUCCACGCUCAACGUGGAGGGGUCAGCUGAUACUGCUGUGACUCGAGUCCGGGAGAGGUGAGUGGAACUGCGAGUGUAGAGGUGAAAUUCGUAGAUAUUCGCAAGAACACCAGUGGCGAAGGCGGCUCACUGGCCCGGUACUGACGCUGAGGUGCGAAAGCGUGGGGAGCAAACAGG